GCUCCGGUAGUAUAGCCCGGCCAAGUAUUCCGGCCUUUCGGCAGGAAGGUGGAAGAGAGCCGGAGACCCGGGUUCGAAUCCCGGCCGGAGCACCA
RNAcentral lists this transfer RNA (95 nucleotides) under Candidatus Zixiibacteriota bacterium. RNAcentral's name for it is "tRNA-OTHER". It matches the Rfam family "tRNA". Rfam says of the family: Transfer RNA (tRNA) molecules are approximately 80 nucleotides in length. The record is from RNAcentral. Lineage: Bacteria; Pseudomonadati; Candidatus Zixiibacteriota.